GUGAGUCAUCGAAUCUUUGAACGCAUCUUGCGCUCCUUGGUAUUCCGAGGAGCAUGCCUGUUUGAGUGUCAUUAUAUUCUCAACUCUCCAAUACUUUGUUGUAAAGGAGAGCUUGGAUUGUGGAGGUUUGCUGGCUCCUUACUUGGGGUCAGCUCCUCUGAAAUGCAUUAGCGGAAUCGUCUGCGAUCUGCCACAAGUGUGAUAACUUAUCUACACUGGCGAGGGGAUUGCUUUCUGAUGUUCAGCUUCUAAUCGUCUAAGGACAAUUUCUUGAAUGCUUGACCUCAAAUCAGGUAGGAC
This 300-nucleotide unclassified non-coding RNA is filed under the name uncultured Agaricus. RNAcentral describes it as "sequence contains 5.8S rRNA gene, ITS2". The stretch from base 1 to 71 matches the Rfam family "5.8S ribosomal RNA", at positions 84 to 154 of the family's 154-position model. Lineage: Eukaryota; Fungi; Basidiomycota; Agaricomycetes; Agaricales; Agaricaceae. The record is from RNAcentral.